AAACACUUCCCAAGCCAGGACUUAACUUCCUGCAGAGUUGGGAUGUCAUUUCCUAUGAGUAGUAUGUCAUCCACAUACAAUACCAAAAAACUAACUAUACUCCCACUAGCCUUGACAUACACACAAGAUUCAUCUUCACUCCUAGAAAAGCCAAAUUCCUUGACCUUUUCAUCAAAGCAAAGAUUCCAUCUGCGAGGUGCUUGCUUCAAUCCAUAAAUGGAUUUCUCAAGCUUACACACUCUAUUAGGGUACUCGUUGCUGACAAAACCCUCUGGCUGACUCAUGUAAACAUCUUCAGCCAACUUUCCAUUAAGGAAAGCGGUUUUGACAUCCAUCUGCCAUAUUUCAUAGUCAUGAAAUGCAGCUAUGGCUAACAGAACCCGAAUAGACUUAAUCUUGGCUACUGGAGAAAAGGUCUCAUCAUAGUCCACUCCAGGAAUUUGAGAGAAGCCCUUUGCAACCAGUCUAGCCUUAUAAGUGUGUACUUUACCAUCCAUGUCGGUCUUCUUCUUGAAGACCCAUUUGCACCCUACUGUCUUACGACCUGGUACAUUUUCAACCAAGUUCCAAACUUGAUUGUCAUACAUGGAUUGUAUCUCGCUAUCCAUAGCCUCUUUCCAUUUAGCAGACUCGGGGCCUGCCAUGGCUUCCUCGUAGCUGUUAGGGUCAUCUUGACUUACUAGUGUCUCAUCACUAAUAAGUGUCUCACCUUCUGCAGUAAUAUGGAAUCCAUAGUAAUGCUCAGGUGCACUCCUAACUCUCGUGGAACGUCUCAGAGGUACAGAUUUGUCAAUUGGCUCAACAGGAGUUUCCUCCUCAAGUUGAGGGCUAGAGUUUGAAGUUCCUUCACCGCUUGAUUCUUGAAUUUCUUCAAGAUCAAUUUGCCUCCCACUGUCUCCUUGGCUUAUAAACUCUCUUUCUCGAAAGACUCCUCUUCUUGCUACAAAGACCACAUUGUCACUAGGUCUGUAGAAGAGGUAACCAAAGGAUCGCUGUGGGUAACCGAUGAAAAUACACCUCUCGCUUCGAGGUUCGAGCUUAUCAUGAGUCUCGCGUCUCACGAAAGCCUCGCAACCCCAAAUCUUGAUGUGGUCUAGUUUAGGUACUUUACCAGUCCACAUCUCGUGAGGAGUUUUGGCAACUUUCUUUGUAGGGACUAGAUUAAGAAUAUGGGCGGCAGUCUCUAAGGCAUACCCCCAGAAUGAGAUUGGUAGCGUAGCUCGACUCAUCAUGGAACGAACCAUAUCUAACAAGGUUCGAUUACGCCUCUCAGCCACACCAUUCAACUGUGGUGUCCUGGGAGGUGUCAAUUGUGAGACUAUCCCACAUUCCCUUAGAUAGUCGAGGAACUCUGAACUAAGAUACUCACCACCACGAUCGGAUCGAAGCAUCUUAAUGUUCCUGCCCAAUUGAUUCUCGACUUCCUGUUUAAAUUCCUUAAACCUCUCGAAAGUCUCUGACUUAUGCUUGAUCAAGUAGACAUAUCCAUAUCUACUAUAAUCAUCAGUAAAAGUCAAAUAAUAACGAUUAGCAUCCCUUGUGGCAUGUUUGAAUGGUCCACACACAUCCGUGUGUAUAAGGUCCAACAAACCUUCACCCCUCUCACACGAACCUGUGAAGGGUGACUUUGUCAUUUUUCCAAGUAAGCAUGAUUCGCAACUAUCAUCUGACUUUAGGUCAAACGACUCCAAGACUCCAUCCUUUUGGAGUUGGCCUAUGCGUUUCUUGCUUAUAUGUCCAAGACGACAAUGCCAUAAAGAUGCUUUAUCCAAGUUAUUAUUAGUAGAAUCAAUACACAAAACAUUAUUUCCCAAGUUAUCUACAACAGAUACAGCUUCAUACACACCAUCACAAGGUAAUGCUUUAAAAUAAAAGACAUUAUUAUAGAAAACAUCUAUAGAACCAACUUCAUUAUUAAAUGAAAAGGUAAACCCUUGUUUGUACAAAGCAUGAAAGGAAAUAAUAUUUCUUGCCAUUCCUGGCGAAUAACAACACUUAUUCAAAUCUAAACUAAACCCACUACUUAGCGAUAAAGUAUAAACUCCAAUCUUGGUAACAGGUAUAGCUUUCCUAUUCCCCAUGAUCAAGUUUAUCCUUCCUUGCUCCACAUCCUCACUUCUUCUUAGUCCCUGCAAGUCACAACAAAUGUGAAUACCACACCCGGUAUCAAGGACCCAAGAAUUAGAAUGGGGUGAGUUAUUAGAAAUGAUAGUGUAAAUACCUGCAUGGUUGGGUUUAACUUUCCCAUCCUUCACAUCUUGCUGGUAUUUUGGGCAGUUCCGCUUCCAAUGAGCUUUUUCAUGGCAAUAGAAGCAUUCAGCCUCUUUUGGGUCAGAAGAAGGAGUAACGAAACCUUUCUUGGUUCCACUUGAAGAAGAGCCAUCAAGGGUCCGAGCCUUGGUACCCUUAGAAGAGCUCUUUCUCUUCCUCCCUCGACUUUUCCCGAUUGCCAAAACCGGAGUAGAGUUUUGAGUAGGAGUGAUAGCAACCGACUUCCCCUUAAGACCUGUUUCUGCGGUCUUGAGAAGUCCCUGAAGUUUGCUGAGGGUGACUUCUUCCUUGUUCAUGUGAUAUGUCAUGCGGAAUUGAUCAUAGCACGAUGGUAAGGAAUGCAAAAUAAUAUCUAUUGCAAGAUCCUCCGGGAAGUUCACAUUAAGCUUCAGCAAACGAUCCACAUACCUUUGCAUUUUCUGCAUGUGGCUCGUGACGGAUUCCCCGUCCUUCAUCAUGGUUGUUAUCAUGGAGCAGAUGAUUUCAUACCUCUCUUGUCUUGCACUUUGAUGGUAUCUUUCCAUCAAAUCUUGGUGCAUGUCAUAAGGGUAGAAAUCCUCAUAAGACUUUUGGAGUUCCGCUGUCAUCGUGGCCAUCAUGAUGCAAGCCACUUUCGUAGCAUCCCUUUCAUGUGCCCGAAAUUCAGCGAUCUCCUGAGGAGUUGCAGUGGACUCAUCAAUCUCCUUAAGCUCCUUGUCAAGGACAUAUUCUUUGUCCUCGUAGCGGGUAAUCAUCCUGAUGUUUCUGAUCCACUCAUUGAAGUUGGAUCCAUCAAAGGUGACUUUCCCACACAAGUUCAUAAGGGUAAAGGAGCCAUUAGGAUUAGAGCCAGAAGCAUUGUUGAAAGACAUCUGAAGGAAAGAGGACAAGAUUAGUUUAGAUAUAAGAGAGUCCUUAAUAAAACACCCAAAUGUAAUAUUAAGGCUAGGAUCCAAUCACAAUAUAAUAUAACUUAGAAGAGGUAUGCCGUAAUCUAAGCUAUAUCAUAUUUGAAAGGUAGGUGAAUGACGAUUCACCAAUUUCCACCACGAAAACCGCAAUAUUUUAGUAUUAGGUUUUUGAAUGGUUCUUAGAAAUUCCUAGAUUCUUUGAGAUUCAAUGAACUUUUCAAAGGCAUGUUUCAAUCUCGAGUGUGCCCUCCAAGUUUUGUGACUGGGAUACCGAGGAUCACAAAACGAGGUGUGAAGUAACCAUGCAAAUCACUUGGUACCCUUAAAGUUUAUCACUCAAUCGAUGUGCCGGUUAACCACACACGCUCCAUCGAUACUAUAAUAAACCCUAAGUCACCCUUUACCUACCUUGUUAAGUCCAAGUUAGUGUGCCGGUUAACCACACACGCUCCACCAACGACUUAAUCAAAGUGUAAAGUGUAAUUUCAUGGAAUAGCACCUUAUUCACAUUUUUCCUAAAGUAACUAAGAUUGGGAAUUUAAUAAAACAUUUAGUUACUUUAUAAUAUUCAUCAUACUUUGAAUGAGAAUUAAUAAGUCCUUGUCUUACCCGUUCGGCUAACGACCCUCCACCGAUCAAGCAAGCGGUGGGUGAGAGUGGACACCCAUUAAGUCACCAUUUUAUAGGCAACAACCUUAUACCCACCUUAUAGACCGGCUUCGUGAAUGAGGCGUACUAGCGGUAAGACGACUUUGUUCUUAUACAUAUAUAUAUAAUUAUUAAAUCAUAAUAAUAUAAGUAUAAGGGUUGAAUUUUAACUUUUAAAAUUCUAGGGGUUGGAACUAAAGUUUUAACUUAACUUUACUUGUUCCAAAACUUGAGGGCAAGUUUUGUAAACUUUCAAAACUUUUCAUUUCUUGUAACUUAUGAGUUUAAUAGAGUAAUAAAAUGAGGACUUUUCAUUUUUCCUAACUCUUGUGUUCUUUUAAUGGUUUUUAAUCCAAGAGACUUUUGGUUUUCCAUAACUUGAGGACAAGUUAUGGACUCCAUUAAAACACAUUAUGAUCAUGAAUUAAUCUACCACAUAGGUUACAAAUAAUUCCUAUGAUCAUCUAAACAUCAUAAGAACAAGAAUAUGAAUAUGAACACUUUCAAGAAUCAAAAUCACAUUUAAUCUUUGUAAUUUUGAUAACUAGUUGUUGUAAAUGAGUUAGAAAAGACAUUACACCUUCUAAAAUAAGUUUUCAAGUACCAAAACAUUUUAGGGUAAUGAUUCUAAUCCAUUUCCAGCAACUCAAGUCGAAAUUCUGCACUCUGUCGACCCUACUCGCCGAGUGCAUAAACCUACUCGCCGAGUAGGUUGAAGAUACACAUGAACUCGACGAGUCCUCCCCAUGGACUCGCCGAGUCCAUCAGUCAGACAGCAGAAUUUUCGACUUUCUUCAACUUUUAAGCACAAAUAACAAACAAACAAGCCUAGGCUCUGAUACCACUGAUGGGUUUUGAGCAUUCUAACACUUCCUAAGUGUACAUGCAACCCUAAUAACCUUGGAUCUAUGUUUGUCUAAUUAUCAUGCAAAGUUGAAUUCCAAGGUUAUAUUCCUAUCUAGCAUACAUGGGGAACAAUUUUAACUUGAAUCAUAGAUAGAAUAACUUACCUUGUUGUUGCUUGUGUUCCUUGAAACCUUGUGAGCCUAGCACCCCAAGUGUGAUGCCUCAAAUGCUUCACACAACACCAAAUGCUCUUGGAAAGACUCUUGAGAUAACACACACUUCUCAAAAUCGGCCAAGCCCUCUAGUUUCUUAGUGUUCAACUUGUGUAGCCAAUUUUGUGGAGAAUGGGACUCUUAUAUAGUGUUGGCACAUCUAGGGUUACACCAUGUAAACCCUAAUGUGUCAUGACUCUUCAUUUCCAUGACCCAUGGGUUUGUAACUCCCAUGGAGCAUCCAUGGAGCAUCCUAUGGGUAGAACCCAACUUGAUAAUCCAUGGAGCCUCUUAGCCCACUAUACAAGAUAUGGAUGAUUUACAUAAUCAACCCAUAUAUUUAAUUAGUUAUCCUUUGAUCACUUAAUUAAUUCCAAAUUAAUUCUUUGAUCAACUAAUCAAAUAAUAUUAUUAAUAUAUUAGAACUUAUAAUAUAUUAAUAAUCUCCAAGUGUUAUUUCUCUCAUUUAGUCUAUCCAAUUGCAUGGUGCCAUGCAACCCAAAUGGACCAUGCCGGGUCGGGUCAAGUACAAGCCCGAAAUAGUUAUGGACUUAGACACCUUAUCCAACAGUCUCCCACUUGGAUAAGUCUAAUAACUAUAUCUCUAGUACUUCAGGAACCGACCGGCAAUCGUAGCUCUUUCAAGGUCUCUCGGAACUGAGAAGAUGAUGGUACGCCAUUUAAGAUAAGUGAUCAUAUAAUCCUCCGUUCUAGAUAUCAGCCGGACAAAUACAUGGAACAUUGUCUUGCUUAUUGUCCAGCAUUUGUUUCCCGAUUUCCGAUUUGUUUGACAUAGAACUUAAUUGAACACAUCAACUUAGUUCUGACCGGGCCCGGUACAUGGGUCAAAACAAAAUCAUCGAGGGGCCCAGAUAUCAGCUUCUAAUCCAAGAAGGAACAGAUAAACUUCGACUCAUAUGUUUGUUCUACCACUCAUUGAAUUACACACAAAAGUACGUUUUAUAACAUCGAGUUACCAAUGCGGUUUCGUACAGUCAAUGCAUAACCAACUUGUAAGUAACAAAUCAUAUCUCUAGGUUUGAAGACUUAUAUGAUAUUACCGUCUCACGAUCACUCGAGAUAGAAUUCCAUGAAGUGAUUCCAGUGAGCGUGGGUUGAGUCCAAUGCUCAGAACUUAUGAGCACUCAUGAUUGUUGUAGCCUUGUCCAAGACCUCUACAACCAAACAUGACAGUCUUGAUUCAUAUCUACUUCCAACAUAUGACCGACUGUGGAGGUUUGAAUAAUAUGUUAUACCAAACAAAAUUAUUCUGGAAGUCAAAACAUGCAAAAGAAAUAUAGUAAACGAUCGACAAGAGAUAGCAACACUUUACUCAUAAAUAAAACACCUUUUAUUCAUCAUCAAAUGUCAAUUACACUUUACAAAUUUCUGGGUUAUCUAACUACUAAAACUUAUAUCAUCCUUCAGCCCUAUGCUCCGAGCAUGCUGGAGAUGCUUAACCCUACUCAGUCCCUUCGUGAGGGGAUCUGCUGGGUUCUCAUCCGAUGAUACCCUCUUUGCCACGAGGAGUCCUUCUUCGAUCCGAUGUCUAAUGAAAUGGUAUUUUCUGUCGAUGUGUCUGGAUCUCCCAUGAUCCCUUGGUUCCUUGGCUAAGGCAACAGCACUUUCACUAUCACAGAAAAUUUCCAUUGGCUCUUUAAUAGCUGGUACAACUCCAAGGUCUCCAAUGAAGUUCUUCAGCCAUAUCGCCUCCUUUGCUGCUUCACUAGCUGCAAUAUACUCUGAUUCACAAGUAGAAUCUGCCACUGUCUCUUGCUUGGAACUCUUCCAAGAAAUUGCUCCUCCGUUUAGGGUAAAGACCCAGCCCGACUGAGAGCGGAAAUUAUCCCUAUCAGUCUGGAAGCUAGCAUCACUAUACCCUACAACUCUCAAGUCAUCACUCCCACCGAGGGUAAGGACCCAGUCCUUAGUCCUCCGUAGGUACUUGAGGAUAUUCUUUACCGCAGUCCAGUGUGCCUUGCCAGGGUUCGCCUGAUACCUGCUAACCAUGCUCAAGGCAAAAGCUACAUCGGGUCGAGUACACGUCAUAGCAUACAUGAUCGAUCCUACAGCCGAAGCGUAAGGUGUUCGACUCAUUUCUGCUAUCUCAGCCUCAGUGCUAGGGCUUUGUGUCUUACUCAAUCUGGUGUUACUCUGGAUGGGUAACUCUCCUUUCUUGGAAUCCUGCAUGCUGAAUCUCUUCAGCACCUUAUCCAAGUAGGUACUCUGACUAAGUCCAAUUAGUCUUUUACUCCGAUCUCUCAAGAUUCUUAUCCCUAGAAUAUAGGCAGCUUCACCAAGGUCCUUCAUAGCGAAACACUUCCCAAGCCAGGACUUUACUUCCUGCAGGGUUGGAAUGUCGUUUCCUAUGAGUAGUAUGUCAUCCACAUACAAUACCAAAAAGCUAACUAUACUCCCACUAGCCUUGACAUACACACAAGAUUCAUCUUCACUCCUAGAAAAGCCAAAUUCCUUGACCUUUUCAUCAAAGCAAAGAUUCCAUCUGCGAGGUGCUUGCUUCAAUCCAUAAAUGGAUUUCUCAAGCUUACACACUCUAUUAGGGUACUCGUUGCUGACAAAACCCUCUGGCUGACUCAUGUAAACAUCUUCAGCCAACUUUCCAUUAAGGAAAGCGGUUUUGAC
Molecule: long non-coding RNA, 7510 nt
Filed under: Lactuca sativa (garden lettuce)
Lineage: Eukaryota; Viridiplantae; Streptophyta; Magnoliopsida; Asterales; Asteraceae
Description: long non-coding RNA (LSAT_LNC003854)
Source: RNAcentral